RNAcentral lists this ribosomal RNA (353 nucleotides) under Shigella flexneri. RNAcentral describes it as "bacterial LSU rRNA". It matches the Rfam family "Bacterial large subunit ribosomal RNA", at positions 2087 to 2439 of the family's 2925-position model. Lineage: Bacteria; Pseudomonadati; Pseudomonadota; Gammaproteobacteria; Enterobacterales; Enterobacteriaceae. The record is from RNAcentral.
GACCCCGUGAACCUUUACUAUAGCUUGACACUGAACAUUGAGCCUUGAUGUGUAGGAUAGGUGGGAGGCUUUGAAGUGUGGACGCCAGUCUGCAUGGAGCCGACCUUGAAAUACCACCCUUUAAUGUUUGAUGUUCUAACGUGGACCCGUGAUCCGGGUUGCGGACAGUGUCUGGUAGGUAGUUUGACUGGGGCGGUCUCCUCCUAAAGAGUAACGGAGGAGCACGAAGGUUGGCUAAUCCUGGUCGGACAUCAGGAGGUUAGUGCAAUGGCAUAAGCCAGCUUGACUGCGAGCGUGACGGCGCGAGCAGGUGCGAAAGCAGGUCAUAGUGAUCCGGUGGUUCUGAAUGGAAG